AGUCGUAACAAGGUUUCUGUAGGUGAACCUGCAGAAGGAUCAUUAGUGAAGAUUUGGGCAGGCCAUACGGACGCCAAAAAGUGUCCCUGGCCGCCUACACCCACUAUACAUCCACAAACCCGUGUGCACUGUCUUGGAGAAAGGCUUCAGAGAAGUUUUUUGUGGCCUCUCUUGGGGUCUUUCUUCGCUACAAACUCGAAUGGUUAGUAUGAACGUGGAACUUGGUUGGACCGUCACUGGCCAACAAACUAUACACAACUUUCGACAACGGAUCUCUUGGUUCUCCCAUCGAUGAAGAACGCAGCGAAACGCGAUAGGUAAUGUGAAUUGCAGAAUUCCGUGAAUCAUCGAAUCUUUGAACGCACCUUGCGCUCUAUGGCAAUCCGUAGAGCAUGCCUGUUUGGGUGCCAUGAAAUCUCCCACCCCAAGCGGUUUUUAAAUGAAACGGCUUGGCGGAUGGGGUCUGGAUGGGUGCCUCUGCCUGCGCUACCUAGCACAGGCUCGCCCGAAAUGCAUGAGCGCCUUGAGACACUUUGCAUCCGCCCCUCUGUUUGGGAGGAGGCGGCCAAGCAGUGUUUUUCUCCUGGCAUGGCAUGAUACGUCAUUUGCUAUGUCGCCUAAAGGAGGAAUGUUUGGUUGUGUCUGCGUGUGCUUCGAACUUGCCUCUGUGGCACAUCCCAAUUUCACUUCUGGUCUCAAAUCAGGUAGGAUCACCCGCUGAACUUAAGCAUAUCAAUUAAAAGUCG
Molecule: ribosomal RNA, 746 nt
Filed under: uncultured fungus
Lineage: Eukaryota; Fungi
Description: eukaryotic LSU rRNA
Rfam family: 5.8S ribosomal RNA (bases 257-410)
Source: RNAcentral